This 387-nucleotide ribosomal RNA is filed under the name Chloroidium sp. Its description in RNAcentral is "partial small subunit ribosomal RNA". It matches the Rfam family "Eukaryotic small subunit ribosomal RNA", at positions 582 to 975 of the family's 1831-position model. The record is from RNAcentral. Lineage: Eukaryota; Viridiplantae; Chlorophyta; Trebouxiophyceae; Watanabeales; Watanabeaceae.
AUUCCAGCUCCAAUAGCGUAUAUUUAAGUUGUUGCAGUUAAAAAGCUCGUAGUUGGAUUUCGGGCGGGGCCUGCCGGUCCGCCUCUGGUGUGCACUGGCAUGGGCUCGCCUCGCUGUCGGGGACGGGCUCCUGGGCUUAACUGUCCGGGACUCGGAGUCGACGAGGUUACUUUGAGUAAAUUAGAGUGUUCAAAGCAGGCCUACGCUCUGAAUACGUUAGCAUGGAAUAACACGAUAGGACUCUGGCCUAUCUUGUUGGUCUGUGGGACCGGAGUAAUGAUUAAGAGGGACGGUCGGGGGCAUUCGUAUUUCAUUGUCAGAGGUGAAAUUCUUGGAUUUAUGAAAGACGAACUUCUGCGAAAGCAUUUGCCAAGGAUGUUUUCAUCA